CACGGGGAGAACCUCUGGAAAGUCUCUAAGUCAUCCGGGAAUAUUGGAGAAUGAGCUGUUUAGCAGAGAGCACAGAGGCGAGCCCUGCAGCCCUGCCCUGAGUGUUUCAGGGAGACUCUCAGCCACACCACAGCUGUGAUGAAGAGAAAGCAACGCCGACGACAGGGUCUAGGUGCCAGUCCCCACCAGGCACAGGGGCAAUCCGGGCGACCGUGUGACCCCGAUGUGGCAGAAAUGCUGGCAGCAACUGUGAGGCAUCGACAAGUUUGCUUUUAGAAAGAAAGAAAGGAACCAGCACUCACAGCCACUGCCACGCGCAUGGCCCUGCCUCACAGCUUCGGAACUAAUCCCACAAGAGGAGCCAAGCCGAUGAAACACAUGGGACAAACCCAGGAAGAGACGCCAAGACACGUGGAGAAAACUCACAGGUACACGGGACUUUGGGCUGAAAAUUCUGGGCCCCCUCGGUGGAGGUGAGCCUGGAGUCAUCCCAGUCCUGAAGAUUCUGGAGCUCCUGUGUCACGCAGCCACAUGAUGCCUCUAAGUUCCACGGCACUGCCAGCCCAGUGGGAGCACGGCAAAUUAGAUGGCAGAGUGACACAGAAGCCCACUCAGCUCCAUGAGCAAAACCUCAAACACGAAGCAGCAGCUCAAGAAACACUCAUGCAAGGACUUCAAUGACCCCACUGGGAGGCAGGACAAUUUUCAUAAGCUUUCUCU
This is a long non-coding RNA of Sorex fumeus (smoky shrew), 720 nucleotides long. RefSeq lists it as uncharacterized. The record is from RefSeq and is a predicted model, not a curated record. Lineage: Eukaryota; Metazoa; Chordata; Mammalia; Eulipotyphla; Soricidae. The transcript is spliced from 4 exons.